AGUGCCAGCACCCGCGGUCAAUACGAAGGGGGCUAGCGUUGCUCGGAAUGACUGGGNGUAAAGGGCGCGUAGGCGGAUUGUCUUGUCNGGCGUGAAAUUCCAGGGCUCAACCUGGGGGGGUCGUUCGAGACGGACAGUCCUAGAGUUUGGCAGAGGGUCGUGGAAUUACCCAGUGUAGAGGGUGAAAUUCGUAUAUAUUGGGAAGAACACCGGAUGGCGAAGGCGGCCGACCUGGUCCCUUGAUGACGCUGAGACGCAGAAACGCAGUGGGGAGCAAACAGAGUAUUANGAUCACCCUAUGUAUAUGUCUCACGCUGUAACASCAGAUGUGCCCUGGACUGUUGGGACCUCCUAGCCUUUCAGNGUCRUAGCUAACGCGGUAAGCACAC
This 389-nucleotide ribosomal RNA is filed under the name uncultured Alphaproteobacteria bacterium. Its description in RNAcentral is "bacterial SSU rRNA". It matches the Rfam family "Bacterial small subunit ribosomal RNA", at positions 504 to 869 of the family's 1533-position model. The record is from RNAcentral. Lineage: Bacteria; Pseudomonadati; Pseudomonadota; Alphaproteobacteria.